UCGUCAGUAUGUUUGGACGGAUGACAGUCCUUUUGGUUACACCUAUUGGGCUGGUGGCCAGCCUGACUUCUAUAUGCUGAGAGAGUACUGCAUUGAGAUGGUCUAUGUGGACGGGGGGCGCUGGAACGAUGUGAGCUGUGAGGAGAAUAGGCCCUGGGUGUGUGCAGUGAAGGUCUAGAGGUCCAGAGAGGACCUGAAGACCAGCAGUUGGACCGGUCUGCUUCAACUGGAACCACUGCAAGCUUUUACAUUUACUGCAAUAAAUAUUCAGCAUCAGAAAACA
Molecule: long non-coding RNA, 283 nt
Organism: Etheostoma cragini (Arkansas darter)
Lineage: Eukaryota; Metazoa; Chordata; Actinopteri; Perciformes; Percidae
Exons: 2
Source: RefSeq, a predicted model, not a curated record